Molecule: transfer RNA, 71 nt
Filed under: Candida gigantensis
Lineage: Eukaryota; Fungi; Ascomycota; Pichiomycetes; Serinales; Debaryomycetaceae
Description: tRNA-Met
Rfam family: tRNA
About the family: Transfer RNA (tRNA) molecules are approximately 80 nucleotides in length.
Source: RNAcentral
UGAUCUAUAGCUCAAUGGUAGAGCGAGCCACUCAUAAUGGCUUGACCUUGGUUCGAUUCCAAGUAGCUCAA